UGGGGAAUAUUGCACAAUGGGGGAAACCCUGAUGCAGCGACGCCGCGUGAGCGAAGAAGGUUUUCGAAUCGUAAAGCUCUGUCCUAUGAGAAGAUAAUGACGGUAUCAUAGGAGGAAGCCCCGGCUAAAUACGUGCCAGCAGCCGCGGUAAUACGUAUGGGGCGAGCGUUGUCCGGAAUUAUUGGGCGUAAAGGGUACGUAGGCGGUCUAUUAAGUCAGGUGUGAAAGCGUGGGUAGCAAACAGG
Molecule: ribosomal RNA, 245 nt
Filed under: Verrucomicrobiota bacterium
Lineage: Bacteria; Pseudomonadati; Verrucomicrobiota
Description: Verrucomicrobia bacterium partial 16S ribosomal RNA
Rfam family: Bacterial small subunit ribosomal RNA
Source: RNAcentral